AGUCGAGCGGUAGCACAGAGAGCUUGCUCUCGGGUGACGAGCGGCGGACGGGUGAGUAAUGUCUGGGAAACUGCCUGAUGGAGGGGGAUAACUACUGGAAACGGUAGCUAAUACCGCAUAACGUCGCAAGACCAAAGUGGGGGACCUUCGGGCCUCAUGCCAUCAGAUGUGCCCAGAUGGGAUUAGCUGGUAGGUGGGGUAACGGCUCACCUAGGCGACGAUCCCUAGCUGGUCUGAGAGGAUGACCAGCCACACUGGAACUGAGACACGGUCCAGACUCCUACGGGAGGCAGCAGUGGGGAAUAUUGCACAAUGGGCGCAAGCCUGAUGCAGCCAUGCCGCGUGUGUGAAGAAGGCCUUCGGGUUGUAAAGCACUUUCAGCGGGGAGGAAGGCGGUAAGGUUAAUAACCUUGUCGAUUGACGUUACCCGCAGAAGAAGCACCGGCUAACUCCGUGCCAGCAGCCGCGGUAAUACGGAGGGUGCAAGCGUUAAUCGGAAUUACUGGGCGUAAAGCGCACGCAGGCGGUCUGUCAAGUCGGAUGUGAAAUCCCCGGGCUCAACCUGGGAACUGCAUUCGAAACUGGCAGGCUAGAGUCUUGUAGAGGGGGGUAGAAUUCCAGGUGUAGCGGUGAAAUGCGUAGAGAUCUGGAGGAAUACCGGUGGCGAAGGCGGCCCCCUGGACAAAGACUGACGCUCAGGUGCG
This 704-nucleotide ribosomal RNA is filed under the name uncultured bacterium. RNAcentral's name for it is "bacterial SSU rRNA". It matches the Rfam family "Bacterial small subunit ribosomal RNA", at positions 60 to 755 of the family's 1533-position model. The record is from RNAcentral.